Molecule: ribosomal RNA, 371 nt
Filed under: uncultured organism
Description: partial 16S ribosomal RNA
Rfam family: Bacterial small subunit ribosomal RNA
Source: RNAcentral
AGAGGGUGCGAACGUUGCUCGGGUUUACUGGGCGUAAAGCGCGUGUAGGCGGACUCGCAAGUCCGUUGUGAAAUCCCUGGGCUCAACCUAGGAACUGCAUCCGAAACUGCUUGUCUUGAGUAAUGGAGAGGGUGGCGGAAUUCCCGGUGUAGAGGUGAAAUUCGUAGAUAUCGGGAGGAACAUCAGUGGCGAAGGCGGCCACCUGGACAUUCACUGACGCUGAGACGCGAAAGCGUGGGGAGCAAACAGGAUUAGAUACCCUGGUAGUCCACGCCGUAAACGAUGAGCACUAGGUGCAGCGGAUAUUGACCUCGGCUGUGCCGUAGCUAACGCGUUAAGUGCUCCGCCUGGGGAGUACGGCCGCAAGGCUA